RNAcentral lists this ribosomal RNA (452 nucleotides) under uncultured bacterium. Its description in RNAcentral is "bacterial SSU rRNA". It matches the Rfam family "Bacterial small subunit ribosomal RNA", at positions 62 to 507 of the family's 1533-position model. The record is from RNAcentral.
UCGAGCGGAUGACGGGAGCUUGCUCCUUGAUUCAGCGGCGGACGGGUGAGUAAUGCCUAGGAAUCUGCCUGGUAGUGGGGGACAACGUUUCGAAAGGAACGCUAAUACCGCAUACGUCCUACGGGAGAAAGCAGGGGACCUUUGGGCCUUGCGCUAUCAGAUGAGCCUAGGUCGGAUUAGCUAGUUGGUGGGGUAAUGGCUCACCAAGGCGACGAUCCGUAACUGGUCUGAGAGGAUGAUCAGUCACACUGGAACUGAGACACGGUCCAGACUCCUACGGGAGGCAGCAGUGGGGAAUAUUGGACAAUGGGCGAAAGCCUGAUCCAGCCAUGCCGCGUGUGUGAAGAAGGUCUUCGGAUUGUAAAGCACUUUAAGUUGGGAGGAAGGGCAGUAAGUUAAUACCUUGGCUGUUUUGACGUUACCGACAGAAUAAGCACCGGGCUAUCUCUGUG